ACUAAGCGUACACGGUGGAUGCCCUGGCAGUCAGAGGCGAUGAAGGACGUGCUAAUCUGCGAUAAGCGUCGGUAAGGUGAUAUGAACCGUUAUAACCGGCGAUUUCCGAAUGGGGAAACCCAGUGUGAUUCGUCACACUAUCAUUAACUGAAUCCAUAGGUUAAUGAGGCGAACCGGGGGAACUGAAACAUCUAAGUACCCCGAGGAAAAGAAAUCAACCGAGAUUCCCCCAGUAGCGGCGAGCGAACGGGGAGGAGCCCAGAGCCUGAAUCAGUGUGUGUGUUAGUGGAAGCGUCUGGAAAGGCGCGCGAUACAGGGUGACAGCCCCGUACACAAAAAUGCACAUACUGUGAGCUCGAUGAGUAGGGCGGGACACGUGGUAUCCUGUCUGAAUAUGGGGGGACCAUCCUCCAAGGCUAAAUACUCCUGACUGACCGAUAGUGAACCAGUACCGUGAGGGAAAGGCGAAAAGAACCCCGGCGAGGGGAGUGAAAAAGAACCUGAAACCGUGUACGUACAAGCAGUGGGAGCACAGAGCAAUCUGUGUGACUGCGUACCUUUUGUAUAAUGGGUCAGCGACUUAUAUUCUGUAGCAAGGUUAACCGAAUAGGGGAGCCGAAGGGAAACCGAGUCUUAACUGGGCGUUAAGUUGCAGGGUAUAGACCCGAAACCCGGUGAUCUAGCCAUGGGCAGGUUGAAGGUUGGGUAACACUAACUGGAGGACCGAACCGACUAAUGUUGAAAAAUUAGCGGAUGACUUGUGGCUGGGGGUGAAAGGCCAAUCAAACCGGGAGAUAGCUGGUUCUCCCCGAAAGCUAUUUAGGUAGCGCCUCGUGAAUUCAUCUCCGGGGGUAGAGCACUGUUUCGGCAAGGGGGUCAUCCCGACUUACCAACCCGAUGCAAACUGCGAAUACCGGAGAAUGUUAUCACGGGAGACACACGGCGGGUGCUAACGUCCGUCGUGAAGAGGGAAACAACCCAGACCGCCAGCUAAGGUCCCAAAGUCAUGGUUAAGUGGGAAACGAUGUGGGAAGGCCCAGACAGCCAGGAUGUUGGCUUAGAAGCAGCCAUCAUUUAAAGAAAGCGUAAUAGCUCACUGGUCGAGUCGGCCUGCGCGGAAGAUGUAACGGGGCUAAACCAUGCACCGAAGCUGCGGCAGCGACACUGUGUGUUGUUGGGUAGGGGAGCGUUCUGUAAGCCUGUGAAGGUGUGCUGUGAGGCAUGCUGGAGGUAUCAGAAGUGCGAAUGCUGACAUAAGUAACGAUAAAGCGGGUGAAAAGCCCGCUCGCCGGAAGACCAAGGGUUCCUGUCCAACGUUAAUCGGGGCAGGGUGAGUCGACCCCUAAGGCGAGGCCGAAAGGCGUAGUCGAUGGGAAACAGGUUAAUAUUCCUGUACUUGGUGUUACUGCGAAGGGGGGACGGAGAAGGCUAUGUUGGCCGGGCGACGGUUGUCCCGGUUUAAGCGUGUAGGCUGGUUUUCCAGGCAAAUCCGGAAAAUCAAGGCUGAGGCGUGAUGACGAGGCACUACGGUGCUGAAGCAACAAAUGCCCUGCUUCCAGGAAAAGCCUCUAAGCAUCAGGUAACAUCAAAUCGUACCCCAAACCGACACAGGUGGUCAGGUAGAGAAUACCAAGGCGCUUGAGAGAACUCGGGUGAAGGAACUAGGCAAAAUGGUGCCGUAACUUCGGGAGAAGGCACGCUGAUAUGUAGGUGAAGUCCCUCGCGGAUGGAGCUGAAAUCAGUCGAAGAUACCAGCUGGCUGCAACUGUUUAUUAAAAACACAGCACUGUGCAAACACGAAAGUGGACGUAUACGGUGUGACGCCUGCCCGGUGCCGGAAGGUUAAUUGAUGGGGUCAGCGCAAGCGAAGCUCUUGAUCGAAGCCCCGGUAAACGGCGGCCGUAACUAUAACGGUCCUAAGGUAGCGAAAUUCCUUGUCGGGUAAGUUCCGACCUGCACGAAUGGCGUAAUGAUGGCCAGGCUGUCUCCACCCGAGACUCAGUGAAAUUGAACUCGCUGUGAAGAUGCAGUGUACCCGCGGCAAGACGGAAAGACCCCGUGAACCUUUACUAUAGCUUGACACUGAACAUUGAGCCUUGAUGUGUAGGAUAGGUGGGAGGCUUUGAAGUGUGGACGCCAGUCUGCAUGGAGCCGACCUUGAAAUACCACCCUUUAAUGUUUGAUGUUCUAACGUGGACCCGUGAUCCGGGUUGCGGACAGUGUCUGGUGGGUAGUUUGACUGGGGCGGUCUCCUCCUAAAGAGUAACGGAGGAGCACGAAGGUUGGCUAAUCCUGGUCGGACAUCAGGAGGUUAGUGCAAUGGCAUAAGCCAGCUUGACUGCGAGCGUGACGGCGCGAGCAGGUGCGAAAGCAGGUCAUAGUGAUCCGGUGGUUCUGAAUGGAAGGGCCAUCGCUCAACGGAUAAAAGGUACUCCGGGGAUAACAGGCUGAUACCGCCCAAGAGUUCAUAUCGACGGCGGUGUUUGGCACCUCGAUGUCGGCUCAUCACAUCCUGGGGCUGAAGUAGGUCCCAAGGGUAUGGCUGUUCGCCAUUUAAAGUGGUACGCGAGCUGGGUUUAGAACGUCGUGAGACAGUUCGGUCCCUAUCUGCCGUGGGCGCUGGAGAACUGAGGGGGGCUGCUCCUAGUACGAGAGGACCGGAGUGGACGCAUCACUGGUGUUCGGGUUGUCAUGCCAAUGGCACUGCCCGGUAGCUAAAUGCGGAAGAGAUAAGUGCUGAAAGCAUCUAAGCACGAAACUUGCCCCGAGAUGAGUUCUCCCUGACCCUUUAAGGGUCCUGAAGGAACGUUGAAGACGACGACGUUGAUAGGCCGGGUGUGUAAGCGCAGCGAUGCGUUGAGCUAACCGGUACUAAUGAACCGUGAGGCUUAACC
Molecule: ribosomal RNA, 2894 nt
Filed under: Escherichia coli
Lineage: Bacteria; Pseudomonadati; Pseudomonadota; Gammaproteobacteria; Enterobacterales; Enterobacteriaceae
Description: bacterial LSU rRNA
Rfam family: Bacterial large subunit ribosomal RNA
Source: RNAcentral